CCUACGGGAGGCAGCAGUGGGGAAUAUUGCACAAUGGGGGAAACCCUGAUGCAGCGACGCCGCGUGAGUGAAGAAGUCUUUCGGUAUGUAAAGCUCUAUCAGCAGGGAAGACAAGGACGGUACCUGACUAAGAAGCCCCGGCUAACUACGUGCCAGCAGCCGCGGUAAUACGUAGGGGGCAAGCGUUAUCCGGAUUUACUGGGUGUAAAGGGAGCGUAGACGGCAGCACAAGUCUGGAGUGAAAUGCCGGGGCUUAACCCCGGAACUGCAUUGGAAACUGUGCAGCUAGAGUGCAGGAGAGGUAAGUGGAAUUCCUAGUGUAGCGGUGAAAUGCGUAGAUAUUAGGAGGAACACCAGUGGCGAAGGCGGAUGACUGGACUGUAACUGACGUUGAGGCUCGAAAGCGUGGGGAGCAAACAGGAUUAGAUACCCCUGUAGUC
RNAcentral lists this ribosomal RNA (440 nucleotides) under uncultured bacterium. RNAcentral's name for it is "partial 16S ribosomal RNA". It matches the Rfam family "Bacterial small subunit ribosomal RNA", at positions 338 to 795 of the family's 1533-position model. The record is from RNAcentral.